GACGUAGGGGGCGAGCGUUAUCCGGAUUCACUGGGCGUAAAGGGCGCGUAGGCGGUUACGAAAGUCCGAUGUGAAAAGUCACGGCUCAACUGUGAUCGUGCAUCGGAUACUUCGUUGACUUGAGGUCGGUAGAGGCAAGUGGAACUAGCGGUGUAGCGGUGAAAUGCGCAGAUAUCGCUAGGAACGCCGGUGGCGAAGGCGACUUGCUGGGCCGUACCUGACGCUGAUGCGCGAAAGCUAGGGGA
RNAcentral lists this ribosomal RNA (245 nucleotides) under uncultured Eggerthella sp. RNAcentral describes it as "partial 16S ribosomal RNA". It matches the Rfam family "Bacterial small subunit ribosomal RNA", at positions 524 to 767 of the family's 1533-position model. Lineage: Bacteria; Bacillati; Actinomycetota; Coriobacteriia; Eggerthellales; Eggerthellaceae. The record is from RNAcentral.